RNAcentral lists this long non-coding RNA (944 nucleotides) under Brassica napus (rape). Its description in RNAcentral is "long non-coding RNA (BNAP_LNC020165)". Lineage: Eukaryota; Viridiplantae; Streptophyta; Magnoliopsida; Brassicales; Brassicaceae. The record is from RNAcentral.
CCGCGCGUACCAAAUUCUAGUUAAUUAUUUAAAACACGCACCUACAUAUACAUAUCUAAAUCGCGGUUAGCUUCUUUGACUUUGAAGAAGAUUCAGCUCACCAUCAGUGCAAAUUCAACCUUUAAUCAUGAGCUUAGUUGACUUUUCAAAAACCCUACGGUCCCUACCUAAUAUUAAUCAUAAAGCCAUCUGUGUUAAAAAAAAAUCAUAAAGCCAUCAUUGAUCAAAAUGAUGUUUCUUCAAUAGUUUUUUUUCGUAAGAUUUAAUAUCAACCAGCAAAGAAAAUAGUCAAGGCACCAAGAAAUAAAGGUGGCUUUUAAAACUUUCUUUUGUCAAAUUUUUUUUUUUAUAAUCUAUACUCAAUCAUUUUAAAAACCUUUGUAACAAAAACAUGUGUAUGAGUUUUUUUUUGUAAUAUUUUUGGUAAUUUCAGUUUAUAUUUGAUGAAAUAGUAACUUUAAAAUAUUUUCUAAAUAUUAUUGAAAUUUAUUAGAGAAAAUAUUGAACACAUAAAGAAAAUUGUUAUACGAAAGAGCUUAGAAUAUUUUGAAUUAAUGGCACGAUAUACUCAUUAUGUAACGACCCGCUCCCCAGUGUCUGAUACGUGGUUCAAAGUGACACACGUCUAUUCCUUUAGACCCAGGCCCGGUCCAGCACCAUGUGGUGCCUAAAGCCCAAAAAAUUUUAUAUCCAUCAAUAAAAUACAUAGCCUAUAAAAAUGUAAGAAAGAAGAAUCGAAGCCACCACCUCCGUGACACAAGAUAUAGCACUAACCACUACACCACUAUCGUUUUUAGCAAAACUGCUGCCCCUAAAAUAUAUAACACAAUUUUGGCGUCCAAACCAAGGGCUUUACCCGCUUUAGCCCAGGGCCGGCCUUGUUUAGACCUCCCAACUUGUUUUGUUACUAAUCCUAGGAAUCCGGAUGUAACACCCCCGAACCG